RNAcentral lists this ribosomal RNA (965 nucleotides) under uncultured bacterium. Its description in RNAcentral is "bacterial SSU rRNA". It matches the Rfam family "Bacterial small subunit ribosomal RNA", at positions 523 to 1482 of the family's 1533-position model. The record is from RNAcentral.
AUACGUAGGGUGCAAGCGUUAUCCGGAAUUAUUGGGCGUAAAGGGCUCGUAGGCGGUUCGUCGCGUCCGGUGUGAAAGUCCAUCGCUUAACGGUGGAUCCGCGCCGGGUACGGGCGGGCUUGAGUGCGGUAGGGGAGACUGGAAUUCCCGGUGUAACGGUGGAAUGUGUAGAUAUCGGGAAGAACACCAAUGGCGAAGGCAGGUCUCUGGGCCGUCACUGACGCUGAGGAGCGAAAGCGUGGGGAGCGAACAGGAUUAGAUACCCUGGUAGUCCACGCCGUAAACGGUGGAUGCUGGAUGUGGGGACCAUUCCACGGUCUCCGUGUCGGAGCCAACGCGUUAAGCAUCCCGCCUGGGGAGUACGGCCGCAAGGCUAAAACUCAAAGAAAUUGACGGGGGCCCGCACAAGCGGCGGAGCAUGCGGAUUAAUUCGAUGCAACGCGAAGAACCUUACCUGGGCUUGACAUGUUCCCGACAGCCGUAGAGAUACGGUCUCCCUUCGGGGCGGGUUCACAGGUGGUGCAUGGUCGUCGUCAGCUCGUGUCGUGAGAUGUUGGGUUAAGUCCCGCAACGAGCGCAACCCUCGCCCUGUGUUGCCAGCACGUCGUGGUGGGAACUCACGGGGGACCGCCGGGGUCAACUCGGAGGAAGGUGGGGAUGACGUCAGAUCAUCAUGCCCCUUACGUCCAGGGCUUCACGCAUGCUACAAUGGCCGGUACAACGGGAUGCGACGCGGCGACGCGGAGCGGAUCCCUGAAAACCGGUCUCAGUUCGGAUCGCAGUCUGCAACUCGACUGCGUGAAGGCGGAGUCGCUAGUAAUCGCGAAUCAGCAACGUCGCGGUGAAUGCGUUCCCGGGCCUUGUACACACCGCCCGUCAAGUCAUGAAAGUGGGCAGCACCCGAAGCCGGUGGCCUAACCCCUUGUGGGAUGGAGCCGUCUAAGGUGAGGCUCGUGAUUGGGACU